ACGGGUGCGUAACGCGUGGGAAUCUGCCCUUGGGUUCGGAAUAACAGUGAGAAAUUACUGCUGAUACCGAAUGAUGACGUAAGUCCAAAGAUUUAUCGCCCAAGGAUGAGCCCGCGUAGGAUUAGCUAGUUGGUGAGGUAAAAGCUCACCAAGGCGACGAUCCUUAGCUGGUCUGAGAGGAUGAUCAGCCACACUGGGACUGAGACACGGCCCAGACUCCUACGGGAGGCAGCAGUGGGGAAUAUUGGACAAUGGGCGAAAGCCUGAUCCAGCAAUGCCGCGUGAGUGAUGAAGGCCUUAGGGUUGUAAAGCUCUUUUACCCGGGAUGAUAAUGACAGUACCGGGAGAAUAAGCUCCGGCUAACUCCGUGCCAGCAGCCGCGGUAAUACGGAGGGAGCUAGCGUUAUUCGGAAUUACUGGGCGUAAAGCGCACGUAGGCGGCUUUGUAAGUUAGAGGUGAAAGCCUGGAGCUCAACUCCAGAACUGCCUUUAAGACUGCAUCGCUUGAAUCCAGGAGAGGUGAGUGGAAUUCCGAGUGUAGAGGUGAAAUUCGUAGA
RNAcentral lists this ribosomal RNA (557 nucleotides) under uncultured Sphingomonas sp. Its description in RNAcentral is "bacterial SSU rRNA". It matches the Rfam family "Bacterial small subunit ribosomal RNA", at positions 102 to 694 of the family's 1533-position model. Lineage: Bacteria; Pseudomonadati; Pseudomonadota; Alphaproteobacteria; Sphingomonadales; Sphingomonadaceae. The record is from RNAcentral.